RNAcentral lists this long non-coding RNA (384 nucleotides) under Carica papaya (papaya). Its description in RNAcentral is "long non-coding RNA (CPAP_LNC013119)". The record is from RNAcentral. Lineage: Eukaryota; Viridiplantae; Streptophyta; Magnoliopsida; Brassicales; Caricaceae.
AUUAGAAAACACCAAAUUUGUAAUUGUUUGGGUUGUUCAAUGAUUAGUGGUGAAUUAGUUUUUAUAGUAAGGGAAUAUGCAAUCUAGUUUAAAUGUGGCAUGCAGUUGUAUCUACUAAUUAGAAUCAAGUCCUUCUAGCUUUUAAAGUUGUUGGUAAAUUAAAUUCUAGGAUCAUUUCUAGGAUUGUUUAUUAACAAGAAUUAACUAACGUUAGUUGAUUUAGGAUUAAGGAAAGAUUGGUUGUGGAAACAUUUCUGACUACUAAAACUGGUUUACUGAGAUUUAGAAGAAUCAAUCAUUGCAUCAAUGAUCAAUUUCAUAACUGGAACCUAACUAUUUCUUUAAUUAGAAUCACCUCAUAUCUAUUUGUUACUUUAAUUAGUU